AUUGAACGCUGGCGGCAGGCCUAACACAUGCAAGUCGAACGGUAACAGGAAGCAGCUUGCUGCUUUGCUGACGAGUGGCGGACGGGUGAGUAAUGUCUGGAAAACUGCCUGAUGGAGGGGGAUAACUACUGGAAACGGUAGCUAAUACCGCAUAACGUCGCAAGACCAAAGAGGGGGACCUUCGGGCCUCUUGCCAUCGGAUGUGCCCAGAUGGGAUUAGCUAGUAGGUGGGGUAAAGGCUCACCUAGGCGACGAUCCCUAGCUGGUCUGAGAGGAUGACCAGCCACACUGGAACUGAGACACGGUCCAGACUCCUACGGGAGGCAGCAGUGGGGAAUAUUGCACAAUGGGCGCAAGCCUGAUGCAGCCAUGCCGCGUGUAUGAAGAAGGCCUUCGGGUUGUAAAGUACUUUCAGCGGGGAGGAAGGGAGUAAAGUUAAUACCUUUGCUCAUUGACGUUACCCGCAGAAGAAGCACCGGCUAACUCCGUG
Molecule: ribosomal RNA, 490 nt
Filed under: uncultured bacterium
Lineage: Bacteria
Description: partial 16S ribosomal RNA
Rfam family: Bacterial small subunit ribosomal RNA
Source: RNAcentral